AAGACUAUCAAACUCCGAAUGCCGUCAUCUUAUACUUGGGAGUCAGACUGUGGGUGAUAAGAUUCAUAGUCGAAAGGGCAACAGCCCAGAUCGUCAGCUAAGGUCCCUAAAUGGAAGUUAAGUGGUAAAGGAUGUGGGAUUGCACAGACAACCAGGAUGUUGGCUUAGAAGCAGCCACUCAUUCAAAGAGUGCGUAAUAGCUC
Molecule: ribosomal RNA, 203 nt
Filed under: Clostridioides difficile
Lineage: Bacteria; Bacillati; Bacillota; Clostridia; Peptostreptococcales; Peptostreptococcaceae
Description: partial 23S ribosomal RNA
Rfam family: Bacterial large subunit ribosomal RNA
Source: RNAcentral